GAACGCACCUUGCGCCCUUUGGCUAUUCUGAAGGGCAUGCCUGUUUGAGUAUCGUGAACACCUCAACUCUCAUGGUCUGCCAUGAUGAGCUUGGACUUUGGGGGUCUUGCUGGCCUGCUGUCAGCUCCUCUCAAAUGAAUCAGCUUACCAGUGUUUGGUGGCACCACAGGUGUGAUAACUAUCUACGCUUGUGGUUUUCUGCCAGGUAACCUCCAGUGAUGGAGGUUCGCUGGGGCUCACAAAUGUCUCUCCUCAGCGAGGACAGCUUUUUGAACGUUUGAUCUCAAAUCAGGUAGGACUACCCGCUGAACUUA
Molecule: unclassified non-coding RNA, 314 nt
Filed under: uncultured Thelephoraceae
Lineage: Eukaryota; Fungi; Basidiomycota; Agaricomycetes; Thelephorales; Thelephoraceae
Description: sequence contains 5.8S rRNA gene
Source: RNAcentral